UUAAAUUGAAGAGUUUGAUCAUGGCUCAGAUUGAACGCUGGCGGCAGGCCUAACACAUGCAAGUCGAACGGUAACAGGAAUCAGCUUGCUGAUUCGCUGACGAGUGGCGGACGGGUGAGUAAUGUCUGGGAAACU
This 135-nucleotide ribosomal RNA is filed under the name Escherichia coli. RNAcentral's name for it is "partial 16S ribosomal RNA". It matches the Rfam family "Bacterial small subunit ribosomal RNA", at positions 1 to 126 of the family's 1533-position model. Lineage: Bacteria; Pseudomonadati; Pseudomonadota; Gammaproteobacteria; Enterobacterales; Enterobacteriaceae. The record is from RNAcentral.